RNAcentral lists this ribosomal RNA (1377 nucleotides) under uncultured marine eukaryote. RNAcentral's name for it is "SSU rRNA". It matches the Rfam family "Eukaryotic small subunit ribosomal RNA", at positions 385 to 1807 of the family's 1831-position model. The record is from RNAcentral.
GGAGAGGGCGCAUGAGAAACGGCUACCACUUCUAAGGAAGGCAGCAGGCGCGCAAAUUACCCAAUCCCAAUUCGGGGAGGUAGUGACAAGAAAUAAUAACCCGGGGUCUCAUGAUUUACGGGAUUAAAAUGAGAACAAUUUAAAUCACUUAACGAGGAACAAUUGGAGGGCAAGUUCUGGUGCCAGCAGCCGCGGUAAUUCCAGCUCCAAUAGCGUAUAUUAAAGUUGUUGCAGUUAAAAAGCUCGUAGUCGAUCUUCUAAGAGCGGUGGUCGGGAUCUCCAUCCCGGGUUGCUUGCUCUUAUCUGACUGAGACCACUAUUCGUGCUUAACUGUUGCGAAAGUGUAAAUCAGUCACUUUACUGAGAAAAAAUUAGAGUGUUCAAAGCAGGCACUGUGCCUUGAAUACACAAGCUUGGAAUAAUAGAAUAUGACUGAAGUCUCUUUGUUGGUUUUAAGACUUUGGUAAUGGUUAAUAGAAACAGUUGGGGGCAUUAGUAUCUAAUUGUCAGAGGUGAAAUUCUUGGAUUUAUUAGAGACUAACCUAUGCGAAAGCAUUUGCCAAGGAUGUUUUCAAUUGAUCAAGAACGAAAGUUAGGGGAUCAAAGACGAUCAGAUACCGUCCUAGUCUUAACUAUAAACGAUUCCGACUAUGGAUUGGGAGGGGUACGUUUAACUCUCUCAGCACAUUAUGAGAAAUCAUAAGUCUUUGGGUUCCGGGGGAAGUAUGGACACAAGUCUGAAACUUAAAGGAAUUGACGGAAGGGCACACAAGGAGUGGAGCCUGCGGCUUAAUUUGACUCAACACGGGGGAAACUUACCAGGGCAAGACAUAGGUGGGAUUGACAGAAAUGAGAGCUCUUUCUUGAUUCUAUGGGUGGUGGUGCAUGGCCGUUCUUAGUUGGUGGAGUGAUUUGUCUGGUUAAAUCCGUUAACGAACGAGACCUUACCCUGCUAAAUAGGAGCCUGAUUCUCAAUCGGGUGUCCUUCUUAGAGGGACUAUGUGCGCAAGCACAUGGAAGUUUGAGGCAAUAACAGGUCUGUGAUGCCCCUAGAUGUCCUGGGCCGCACGUGCGCUACAAUGCCACAGGCAACAAGUUAUUCCUGCUCCGACAGGAGUUCGGGUAAUCUUUAUAGUUUGUGGCGUGACCGGGAUUGUCCUUUGCAAUUAUAGGACAUGAACUAGGAAUUCCUAGUAUAGGUAUGUCAUCAGCAUGCCUAGAUUAAGUCCCUGCCCUUUGUACACACCGCCCGUCGCUCCUACCGAUUGAGAGAUUCAGUGAACCUUCUGGAGUUUGGGUCGACUUUUAUUCUUCUCUGCGAAGUUAAGUAAACUAUUAUCUCUUAGAGGAAGGAGAAGUCGUAACAAGGUAGCCGUA